GUGAGAAAACAUCUAGGCUGUUGAGAAUAAACAGUUAAAUAUUGAAAGUAUUUCGAAACGGCGGGUUAGCGGAAAAAAAGCGGAGAUGGAGGACUCAGGAGCGAUCCUGUGUCAGAUCUCUUCAAUCAAGGAUAUGCUCGAUCUGGUAAACCAAGAAAUCGAGGUUAAUAUUCAGAUAACCAGAGAGAUCGAAUCGGAUAUCGUCAAAUGUACGGAUAUCGAGGGUGGUUUGAAUGCCAGAGAAUCCGAGUUGACAAAGAUGGUUUAUGUGUCGCAGUUUGAAAUUGAUGGAUUGAACUCUGUUGCUGGUGAAGUGGAUAUGGCGACUAAAAAUCCUAGUUUUACAUCCGUCAUCUCUGGAUCUCCUAUUAUCACAUCGGAAAAAUUGAUUGGUAGUGAGAAUUAUCUCUCCUGGUCAGCGUUCGUGGAACUCUGGUUUAUGGGACAAGGUUAUGAGGAUCAUCUUGUUACACCUGAGGAUGCUAUACCUGAUAUUGACAAAGUGCAAUGGAAGAAAAUCGAUGCACAAUUAUGCAGCGUAUUAUGGCAAUCUGUUGAUCCCAAAAUUUUACAUCAUCUUCGUGCCUACAAAACCUGCUUUAAAUUUUGGACUCAGGCUAAAGGAUUAUACACGAAUGAUAUUCAACGAUUUUAUAAGAUGGUUUCUGAUAUUGUUCAUGUGAGACAGCAGGACAUGGAUCUGUCUACUUAUAUUGGCCGGAUUGCGUCUCUUAAGGAGGAGUUCUUAACUUUGAUGUCCUUCACUAAUGGUGCUAAAGCUCAACAAAUAUAGAUUGACAAGUUCUUUAUGGUGUUAACCCUCAUUGGCCUUCGUCCAGAUCUUGAGUCUGUCCGAGAUCAGAUUCUUGCUAGUCCAUCAGUACCAUCAUUGAAUGAUGUGUUCGCUCGUCUCUUACGCCUCUCCUCUACUCAGACCUUGUCGACUGAUGGUCUUUCAGAUUCAUCUGUGUUAGCCUCUCAAAUUAACUCUCGAGGAGGACGUAGUGGCAAUCGGGGUCGAGGACAACGUCCUCAGUGCACCUAUUGUAAUAAGUUUGGUCACACUCGAGAUCGUUGCUAUCAGUUACAUGGACGGCCUCCUCGUACUACCCACAUUGCUCAGUCAUCUAAUCCUCUGCUAUCUCGACCUGACUCCGCUGCGAGCUCCACAUUUCAGAGUAUCACCCUUACUGGUAGUGAUUAUGAUGCCUAUCUCCGAUAUCAGACAACCACAUCAGCUUUUGUUGCUUCUGUUGCCCAGACCGGGAAGGUUUUACCACGUUUUGCCUAGAUUUUCAAAAGGAUAUUGACAAGGGUGAAAAUGAUGAGCUCAGGACUCUGCUAUCGGACAAAGAGUUUCUUGAAAAUGAGAUUCAUCUCU
This is an RNA transcript of Vitis vinifera (wine grape), 1381 nucleotides long. RefSeq lists it as uncharacterized. The transcript is spliced from 4 exons. NCBI's taxonomy places the organism in Eukaryota, Viridiplantae, Streptophyta, Magnoliopsida, Vitales, Vitaceae. The record is from RefSeq and is a predicted model, not a curated record.